ACAUAUCAAUAAGCGGAGGAAAAGAAACCAACAGGGAUUGCCCUAGUAACGGCGAGUGAAGCGGCAACAGCUCAAAUUUGAAAGCUGGCUCUCGGGCCCGCAUUGUAAUUUGCAGAGGAUGCUUCUGGCGACGCGCCUUCCGAGUUCCCUGGAACGGGACGCCAUAGAGGGUGAGAGCCCCGUCCGGUCGUGCGCCUAGCCUCUGUGAAGCUCCUUCGACGAGUCGAGUAGUUUGGGAAUGCUGCUCAAAAUGGGAGGUAUACGUCUUCUAAAGCUAAAUACCGGCCAGAGACCGAUAGCGCACAAGUAGAGUGAUCGAAAGAUGAAAAGCACUUUGAAAAGAGAGUUAAAAAGUACGUGAAAUUGUUGAAAGGGAAGCGCUCAUGACCAGACUUGGGCUGGCCCGAUCAUCCGGCGUUCUCGCCGGUGCACUCGGGCCGCCCAGGCCAGCAUCAGCUUUCGCCGGGGGAUAAAGGCGGCGGGAAUGUGGCUCCCUCGGGAGUGUUAUAGCCCGCCGUGCAAUACCCUGGUGGGGGCUGAGGUUCGCGCGUAUGCACGGAUGCUGGCGUAAUGGUUAUCAGCGACCCGUCUUGAAACACGGACCAAGGAGUCGUCUUCGUAUGCGAGUGUUCGGGUGUCAAACCCCUACGCGGAAUGAAAGUGAACGCUGGUGAGAGCUUCGGCGCAUCACCGACCGAUCCUGAUGUUCUCGGACGGAUUUGAGUAAGAGCAUACGGGGCCGGACCCGAAAGAAGGUGAACUAUGCCUGUAUAGGGUGAAGCCAGAGGAAACUCUGGUGGAGGCUCGCAGCGGUUCUGACGUGCAAAUCGAUCGUCAAAUAUGGGCAUGGGGGCGAAA
This 858-nucleotide ribosomal RNA is filed under the name Trichothecium roseum. RNAcentral describes it as "partial large subunit ribosomal RNA". It matches the Rfam family "Eukaryotic large subunit ribosomal RNA", at positions 38 to 928 of the family's 3401-position model. The record is from RNAcentral. Lineage: Eukaryota; Fungi; Ascomycota; Sordariomycetes; Hypocreales.